Molecule: long non-coding RNA, 828 nt
Organism: Ornithodoros turicata
Lineage: Eukaryota; Metazoa; Arthropoda; Arachnida; Ixodida; Argasidae
Exons: 3
Source: RefSeq, a predicted model, not a curated record
GCGCAUGUGUUCCGGCUAUCUAGUUUUCUGUGCGUCUGGCAUUCACCACGCACCAUGAAGUGGCUAUGAGCAGUGCGAACAGCAGGAGGAGGAGGCAUGUUGAUGUAAGUCUGGGUAAUUCCAGAGAAGCUGGGUAUUUCAAGCGCCGUUCUUACUCCUGCCCGAUGGAGCCGCUCAAGAGCCUGUCAUUGUGAAGGUCCGAGAUCUACGCACAGUGACACGUACAGGAUACGCGAGAGAAUGAGGGCUUUGUGUAGCGUGAGCAGCGAACUUGACCUGCAGCCCCAUGCCUUGCCGCUGGUCCUUCGGAGUAAAUUAAGAGUCCUCUUGCCUUUACAGACCGUUUUGGUUCACUAGCCUAGACCAGCGUAAAUCGCUGUCAAUAAUGACGCCAAGAUAACGGCAAACCUGACAUCUUGGGAUGGGAGUGCUGUUGAUGGAAAGAUUAGAGAAACCCUUGCCCACAUACUUUCGGCAGGGAAUGCAGACCAAGCAUUGAGACUUUGCUGGAUAUACAACUAGCUCCCUUUCAAGAAGAGCCGCACUGAGCCCGUUCAGUGCAAUUUCGGCGGUGUCACGAAGCUGCUUCUUGUUCUCCCCCACAACGCGGAGGCAGAUAUCGUCCCCGUAGAUGGUAAGCUGAAGGGUAUACGGAGAUGGGCGAAUCCUGCGGUGGACUCAGGCCAUGAUCAGGUUGAAUAGAGUGGGCGAAAGAACACUGCCCUGUGGGACCGCACGUUCGAACUCUUUCUUGGAGCUCAUGCGCCCAUUGACACACAUAUCAAACGUACGGGCGGAGAGAAAGUCCAAGAGGUAUCUCAGCAAGGC